ACGAACGCUGGCGGCACGCUUAACACAUGCAAGUCGAACGAGAGAAGCGAAGCUUGCUUUUCUGAUCUAGUGGCGGACGGGUGAGUAACACGUGAGCAAUCUGCCUUUCAGAGGGGGAUACCGAUUGGAAACGAUCGUUAAUACCGCAUAACAUAAUUGAACCGCAUGAUUUGAUUAUCAAAGAUUUAUCGCUGAAAGAUGAGCUCGCGUCUGAUUAGCUAGUUGGUAAGGUAACGGCUUACCAAGGCGACGAUCAGUAGCCGGACUGAGAGGUUGAUCGGCCACAUUGGGACUGAGACACGGCCCAGACUCCUACGGGAGGCAGCAGUGGGGAAUAUUGCACAAUGGAGGAAACUCUGAUGCAGCGAUGCCGCGUGAGGGAAGAAGGUUUUAGGAUUGUAAACCUCUGUCUUCAGGGACGAAAAAAGACGGUACCUGAGGAGGAAGCUCCGGCUAACUACGUG
RNAcentral lists this ribosomal RNA (464 nucleotides) under uncultured bacterium. RNAcentral describes it as "partial 16S ribosomal RNA". It matches the Rfam family "Bacterial small subunit ribosomal RNA", at positions 29 to 507 of the family's 1533-position model. The record is from RNAcentral.